RNAcentral lists this ribosomal RNA (511 nucleotides) under Microbacterium sp. Its description in RNAcentral is "bacterial SSU rRNA". It matches the Rfam family "Bacterial small subunit ribosomal RNA", at positions 921 to 1431 of the family's 1533-position model. Lineage: Bacteria; Bacillati; Actinomycetota; Actinomycetes; Micrococcales; Microbacteriaceae. The record is from RNAcentral.
CCGCACAAGCGGCGGAGCAUGCGGAUUAAUUCGAUGCAACGCGAAGAACCUUACCAAGGCUUGACAUAUACGAGAACGGGCCAGAAAUGGUCAACUCUUUGGACACUCGUAAACAGGUGGUGCAUGGUUGUCGUCAGCUCGUGUCGUGAGAUGUUGGGUUAAGUCCCGCAACGAGCGCAACCCUCGUUCUAUGUUGCCAGCACGUAAUGGUGGGAACUCAUGGGAUACUGCCGGGGUCAACUCGGAGGAAGGUGGGGAUGACGUCAAAUCAUCAUGCCCCUUAUGUCUUGGGCUUCACGCAUGCUACAAUGGCCGGUACAAAGGGCUGCAAUACCGUGAGGUGGAGCGAAUCCCAAAAAGCCGGUCCCAGUUCGGAUUGAGGUCUGCAACUCGACCUCAUGAAGUCGGAGUCGCUAGUAAUCGCAGAUCAGCAACGCUGCGGUGAAUACGUUCCCGGGUCUUGUACACACCGCCCGUCAAGUCAUGAAAGUCGGUAACACCUGAAGCCGGU